This 107-nucleotide small nuclear RNA is filed under the name Jaculus jaculus (lesser Egyptian jerboa). The record is from RNAcentral. Lineage: Eukaryota; Metazoa; Chordata; Mammalia; Rodentia; Dipodidae.
AUGCUCGCUUCGGCAGCACAUAUACUAAAAUUGGAAUGAUACAGAGAAGAUUAACACGAUCCCUGCGCAAGGAUGACAUGCAAAUUCAUGAAGCGUUCCAUAUUUUU